RNAcentral lists this ribosomal RNA (497 nucleotides) under uncultured bacterium. RNAcentral's name for it is "partial 16S ribosomal RNA". It matches the Rfam family "Bacterial small subunit ribosomal RNA", at positions 28 to 507 of the family's 1533-position model. The record is from RNAcentral.
GAUGAACGCUGGCGGCGUGCCUAAUACAUGCAAGUCGAGCGAACAGACGAGGAGCUUGCUCCUUCGACGUUAGCGGCGGACGGGUGAGUAACACGUGGGUAACCUACCUAUAAGACUGGGAUAACUUCGGGAAACCGGAGCUAAUACCGGAUAAUAUUUCGAACCGCAUGGUUCGAUAGUGAAAGAUGGCUUUGCUAUCACUUAUAGAUGGACCUGCGCCGUAUUAGCUAGUUGGUAAGGUAACGGCUUACCAAGGCAACGAUACGUAGCCGACCUGAGAGGGUGAUCGGCCACACUGGAACUGAGACACGGUCCAGACUCCUACGGGGGGCAGCAGUAGGGAAUCUUCCGCAAUGGGCGAAAGCCUGACGGAGCAACGCCGCGUGAGUGAUGAAGGUCUUCGGAUCGUAAAACUCUGUUAUUAGGGAAGAACAAACGUGUAAGUAACUGUGCACGUCUUGACGGUACCUAAUCAGAAAGCCACGGCUAACUACGUG